GAUGAACGCUGGCGGCGUGCCUAAUACAUGCAAGUCGAGCGAACAGACGAGGAGCUUGCUCCUCUGACGUUAGCGGCGGACGGGUGAGUAACACGUGGAUAACCUACCUAUAAGACUGGGAUAACUUCGGGAAACCGGAGCUAAUACCGGAUAAUAUAUUGAACCGAAUGGUUCACUAUUGAAGGACGGUUUUGCUGUCACUUAUAGAUGGAUCAGCGCCGCAUUAGCGAGUUGGUAAGGUAACGGCUUACCAAGGCAACGAUGCGUAGCCGACCUGAGAGGGUGAUCGGCCACACGGGAACUGAGACACGGUCCAGACUCCUACGGGAGGCAGCAGUAGGGAAUCUUCCGCAAUGGGCGAAAGCCUGACGGAGCAACGCCGCGUGAGUGAUGAAGGUCUUCGGAUCGUAAAACUCUGUUAUUAGGGAAGAACAAAUGUGUAAGUAACUAUGCACGUCUUGACGGUACCUAAUCAGAAAGCCACGGCUAACUACGUGCCAGCCGCCGCGGUAA
This 513-nucleotide ribosomal RNA is filed under the name uncultured bacterium. Its description in RNAcentral is "partial 16S ribosomal RNA". It matches the Rfam family "Bacterial small subunit ribosomal RNA", at positions 28 to 523 of the family's 1533-position model. The record is from RNAcentral.